This 200-nucleotide unclassified non-coding RNA is filed under the name soil metagenome. RNAcentral's name for it is "partial contains internal transcribed spacer 2 and large subunit ribosomal RNA". The record is from RNAcentral.
UCACCAAUCGAGCCCUGCUCGGUAUUGGGCCUCGUCCUCACCGGACGGGCCUCGAAGCCCCCGGCCGUCCGGUCCCGCUUCAGGCGUAGCAGAGCUUUUGCAGCCUCGCCUUGGAAGCCGGUGGCCGCGCCGCGCCGCGCAACAGAAACUUUGACAUCAAGGUUGACCUCGGAUCAGGUAGGGAUACCCGCUGAACUUAA